AUUGAACGCUGGCGGCAUGCUUUACACAUGCAAGUCGAGCGGCAGCGCGGGGGCAACCCUGGCGGCGAGCGGCGAACGGGUGAGUAAUGCAUCGGAACGUAUCCUCGAGUGGGGGAUAACCCAGCGAAAGUUGGGCUAAUACCGCAUGAGCUCUGAGGAGGAAAGCGGGGGAACUGCGGGGGCCUCGCGCUGGCGGAGCGGUCGAUGUCCGCUUAGGUAGUCGGUGGGGUAAAGGCUUACCAAGGCGACGAUCGGGAGCUGGUCUGAGAGGAUGAACAGCCCCACUGGGACGGAGACACGGCCCAGACUCCUACGGGAGGCAGCAGUGGGGAAUUUUGGACAAUGGGGGCAACCCUGAUCCAGCCAUGCCGCGUGAGUGAAGAAGGCCUUCGGGUUGUAAAGCUCUUUCGGACGGAACGAAAUGGGCGGGACUAAUACUCCUGUCUGAUGACGGUACCGUAAGAAGAAGCACCGGCUAACUACGUG
This 486-nucleotide ribosomal RNA is filed under the name uncultured bacterium. Its description in RNAcentral is "partial 16S ribosomal RNA". It matches the Rfam family "Bacterial small subunit ribosomal RNA", at positions 29 to 507 of the family's 1533-position model. The record is from RNAcentral.